GUAAGGAAUAUUGGACAAUGGGGGAAACCCUGAUCCAGCCAUGCCGCGUGAGUGAAGAAGGCCUUCGGGUUGUAAAGCUCUUUCAGAUGUGAAGAUGAUGACGGUAACAUCAGAAGAAGCUCCGGCUAACUUCGUGCCAGCAGCCGCGGUAAUACGAAGGGAGCGAGCGUUGUUCGGAAUCACUGGGCGUAAAGAGUGCGUAGGCGGUUAUACAAGUCAGGAGUGAAAUCCCAGGGCUCAACCCUGGAAUUGCUUUUGAAACUGUAUAGCUAGAGUCCCGGAGGGGUUAAUGGAAUUCCGAGUGUAGGGGUGAAAUUCGUAGGUAUUCGGAGGAACACCAGUGGCGAAGGCGAUUAACUGGACGGGCACUGACGCUGAGGCACGAAAGCGUGGGGAUCAAACAGGAUUAGAUACCCGGGUAGUCC
RNAcentral lists this ribosomal RNA (425 nucleotides) under uncultured bacterium. RNAcentral's name for it is "partial 16S ribosomal RNA". It matches the Rfam family "Bacterial small subunit ribosomal RNA", at positions 354 to 796 of the family's 1533-position model. The record is from RNAcentral.